GUGCUAUCAACAUGUUAUCCUUAACGUUUGAAAAAAUAGUUGGCUGAAUAUAAUAGCCCUUAGAGCCACAUCUAUCACCUCCAAUUUCAAGUGUAGCACCACUUUCAACACCAGACCUUAUGUACUUAAGGAUCUUCUGAAAUUGUUUCUCAUCAAUCUGAGGACCUUGUUGAACCCCCUUCUGAAAUGGAUCUCCAACUACACGUUUUGAAGCACAAGCCUUUGCUUUCUCUACAAAUUCAUCAUACACGCGCUCAUGUACCAAUGUCCGAGACCCAGCACAACAACACUGACCCUGGUUAAAGAACAAAGCAAAAUGUGCAAGCUCUGCAGCUUGAUCAAUGUCAGCAUCCUCGCACACGAUAAAAGGAGAUUUUCCUCCAAGCUCUAAAGUCACUGACUUGAGAUUACUCUUUGCGGCCAUUUCUAGUAUUCUCUGACCGGUCUCAGUUGAUCCUGUGAAUGCAAUCUUGUCAACAUCCAUAUGACUACAGAGAGGUGCACCAGCAGAAGCACCAAAGCCAGAGACCACAUUUAGAACACCUGGAGGAAGCCCAGCCUGUAGUAUAAAAUAAAUUUAAUUAGUGAUUGAC
This 593-nucleotide unclassified non-coding RNA is filed under the name Hevea brasiliensis (rubber tree). Lineage: Eukaryota; Viridiplantae; Streptophyta; Magnoliopsida; Malpighiales; Euphorbiaceae. The record is from RNAcentral.